Long non-coding RNA from Thalassophryne amazonica, 96 nucleotides. RefSeq lists it as uncharacterized. Lineage: Eukaryota; Metazoa; Chordata; Actinopteri; Batrachoidiformes; Batrachoididae. The record is from RefSeq and is a predicted model, not a curated record. The transcript has 3 exons.
UGCCCUAAGUUAAUCAUUUCCAAACUAUCUAUUUCUUGCUUGUGUUCCUCAUUGGAAUAACAGUUAAGAGAGCAAAGAAAAUCAACUUUUGUGAAA